AGAGUUUGAUCCUGGCUCAGGACGAACGCUGGCGGCGUGCUUAACACAUGCAAGUCGAACGUAAGGCCCCUUCGGGGGUACACGAGUGGCGAACGGGUGAGUAACACGUGAGUAACCUGCCCUAACUCUGGGAUAACUCCUGGAAACAGGUGCUAAUACCGGAUACCAACUUCCUAGGCACUAUGAAGUUUGAAAGCUCCGGCGGUUAGGGAUGGACUCGCGGCCUAUCAGCUUGUUGGUAGGUAACGGCUCACCAAGGCUCCGACGGGUAGCCGGCCUGAGAGGGCGACCGGCCACAUUGGACUGAGAUACGGCCCAAACUCCUACGGGAGGCAGCAGUGGGGAAUAUUGCACAAUGGAGCAAGUCUGAUGCAGCAACGCCGCGUGCGGGAUGACGGCCUUCGGGUUGUAAACCGCUUUAGCAGGGACGAAGCGAAAGUGACGGUACCUGCAGAAGAAGCACCGGCUAACUACGUGCCACAGCCGCGGUGAUACGUAGGGUGCGAGCGUUGUCCGGAUUUAUUGGGCGUAAAGAGCUUGAGGCGGUUUGUCGCGUCGGGAGUGAAAACUCAGUGCUUAACACUGAGCCUGCUUCCGAUAGGGUAGACUUGAGGAAGGUAGGGGA
This 625-nucleotide ribosomal RNA is filed under the name uncultured bacterium. RNAcentral describes it as "bacterial SSU rRNA". It matches the Rfam family "Bacterial small subunit ribosomal RNA", at positions 8 to 658 of the family's 1533-position model. The record is from RNAcentral.